This 94-nucleotide ribosomal RNA is filed under the name Yersinia ruckeri. Its description in RNAcentral is "partial 16S ribosomal RNA". The stretch from base 1 to 83 matches the Rfam family "Bacterial small subunit ribosomal RNA", at positions 1451 to 1533 of the family's 1533-position model. Lineage: Bacteria; Pseudomonadati; Pseudomonadota; Gammaproteobacteria; Enterobacterales; Yersiniaceae. The record is from RNAcentral.
CGCUUACCACUUUGUGAUUCAUGACUGGGGUGAAGUCGUAACAAGGUAACCGUAGGGGAACCUGCGGUUGGAUCACCUCCUUACCUAAAGAUAC